CCUACGGGAGGCUGCGGUGAGGAAUAUUGGUCAAUGGGCGCGAGCCUGAACCAGCCAAGUAGCGUGAAGGAUGACUGCCCUACGGGUUGUAAACUUCUUUUAUAAAGGAAUAAAGUGAGGCACGUGUGCCUUUUUGUAUGUACUUUAUGAAUAAGGAUAGGCUAACUCCGUGCCAGCAGCCGCGGUAAUACGGAGGAUCCGAGCGUUUUCCGGAUUUAUUGGGUUUAAAGGGAGCGUAGAUGGGUUGUUAAGUCAGUUGUGAAAGUUUGCGGCUCAACCGUAAAAUUGCAAUUGAUACUGGCAGCCUUGAGUACAGUAGAGGUAGGCGGAAUUCGUGGUGUAGCGGUGAAAUGCGUAGAUAGCACGAAGAACUCCGAUUGCGAAGGCAGCCUGCUGGACUGUAACUGACGCUGAUGCUCGAAAGUGUGGGUAGCAAACAGGAUUAGAUACCCCAGUAGUC
This 460-nucleotide ribosomal RNA is filed under the name uncultured bacterium. RNAcentral's name for it is "partial 16S ribosomal RNA". It matches the Rfam family "Bacterial small subunit ribosomal RNA", at positions 338 to 795 of the family's 1533-position model. The record is from RNAcentral.